AGUUAGGAAAUGGAAUGAGAGACAGGACCCCCCCUCUCUCUUCCUGAAAGAGUCUUUAUCCCAAAGGAAGUAGCUUCCAAGCAGAAGUUCCGGCAGGCCAUUCAUUACAGAAGUGCGGAGUGGUGGUUAGUGGCCACAGCCUGACCAGAAGUCAGCUGAGCUCAUUCCCAUACUCCUCCCCAGAGACAUACGGAUCAGUCAUGUUCUCAGUGUGGCUGAGCCUGCUGAACAAGGCACAGGCUACAGGAGAGCCAGAGUCAGGACAUCAAGCCAAGGAACCCUGCUAGCACCAUGGCCCAUGAGGAAGCCCCAUGUGCUGACUGUGUGCUUCCUGUAGCUGUACCCCAGAAGGAGGGUUCUGGCUCCACUGGAAAAGCUGGGCCAGUCUGAAGCUGGUUUGCCACCGUGACUGCAGACUGCACUGGCCUCUCCAGGAAAUUUGGAGAUACAAGAACACAUUAUAGAGGACCACAGAAUUUGGCAAGAUCAGAUUAUAGGGGAAUUCUACAAGCCUGAGGAACUAUUAGAUUAAAGAAGACAUAAGAGAUAUGCUAGUCAGCCAGCCUGAAAAGACCAUGUGAUUUCUGGUAGUGACGAGCAAAAAUGAAGAAGGAAAAGUCUAUGAGAGCAUCAAGGGAAUUUCAGUUUGGGUUAGCUAUAUGAUGAAAAUGGGGAAUUACUGUUCACUACUGCUGCAUUA
This is a non-coding RNA of Cricetulus griseus (Chinese hamster), 700 nucleotides long. NCBI's taxonomy places the organism in Eukaryota, Metazoa, Chordata, Mammalia, Rodentia, Cricetidae. The record is from RefSeq and is a predicted model, not a curated record.